This 449-nucleotide ribosomal RNA is filed under the name uncultured bacterium. RNAcentral's name for it is "partial 16S ribosomal RNA". It matches the Rfam family "Bacterial small subunit ribosomal RNA", at positions 354 to 795 of the family's 1533-position model. The record is from RNAcentral.
GUGGGGAAUUUUGGACAAUGGGGGCAACCCUGAUCCAGCCAUCCCGCGUGUGCGAUGAAGGCCUUCGGGUUGUAAAGCACUUUUGGCAGGGAAGAAAAGUUUCGGGCUAAUACCCUGGAGCGAUGACGGUACCUGCAGAAUAAGCACCGGCUAACUACGUGCCAGCAGCCGCGGUAAUACGUAGGGUGCAAGCGUUAAUCGGAAUUACUGGGCGUAAAGCGUGCGCAGGCGGUUCGGAAAGAAAGAUGUGAAAUCCCAGGGCUUAACCUUGGAACUGCAUUUUUAACUGUCGAACUCGAGUAUGUCAGAGGGGGGUAGAAUUCCACGUGUAGCAGUGAAAUGCGUAGAGAUGUGGAGGAAUACCGAUGGCGAAGGCAGCCCCCUGGGAUAAUACUGACGCUCAUGCACGAAAGCGUGGGGAGCAAACAGGAUUAGAUACCCGAGUAGCC